GGGGUUGCGGCUCAGGGGUAGAGUGCUCGCCUAGCAUGUGUGAGGCACUGGGUUCAAUCCUCAGCACCACA
RNAcentral lists this transfer RNA (71 nucleotides) under Marmota monax (woodchuck). Its description in RNAcentral is "tRNA.Ala". Lineage: Eukaryota; Metazoa; Chordata; Mammalia; Rodentia; Sciuridae. The record is from RNAcentral.